Caenorhabditis elegans is the source of this 108-nucleotide non-coding RNA. The record is from Ensembl. NCBI's taxonomy places the organism in Eukaryota, Metazoa, Nematoda, Chromadorea, Rhabditida, Rhabditidae.
AGAAAAAAAAUCAGUUAUCCGGUGCCAGUCAAAAGAGCAGCACGGAGCGAUGAUCGAGGCAAGGGCAAAAAGUGCAUGAACAAGAAAUUAAGUGUACUUUGGGAAGCC